Molecule: ribosomal RNA, 514 nt
Filed under: Sciscionella marina
Lineage: Bacteria; Bacillati; Actinomycetota; Actinomycetes; Pseudonocardiales; Pseudonocardiaceae
Description: bacterial SSU rRNA
Rfam family: Bacterial small subunit ribosomal RNA
Source: RNAcentral
CUUGGAAAACGGGGUCUAAUACCGGAUAGGACUGCAUCUCGCAUGGGGUGUGGUGGAAAAGUGUUUAGUGGUGUGGGAUGGGCCCGCGGCCUAUCAGUUUGAUGGUGGGGUGAUGGCCUACCAUGGCGAUGACGGGUAGCCGGCCUGAGAGGGCGACCGGUCACACUGGGACUGAGAUACGGCCCAGACUCCUACGGGAGGCAGCAGUGGGGAAUAUUGCACAAUGGGCGAAAGCCUGAUGCAGCAACGCCGCGUGAGGGAUGACGGCCUUCGGGUUGUAAACCUCUUUCGACACCGACGAAGCGCAAGUGACGGUAGGUGUAGAAGAAGCACCGGCUAACUACGUGCCAGCAGCCGCGGUAAUACGUAGGGUGCGAGCGUUGUCCGGAAUUAUUGGGCGUAAAGAGCUCGUAGGCGGUUUGUCGCGUCUAUCGUGAAAACUGGAGGCUUAACUUUCAGCGUGCGGUGGAUACGGGCUGACUUGAGUGUGGCAGGGGAGACUGGAAUUCCUGGU